Molecule: long non-coding RNA, 1432 nt
Organism: Etheostoma cragini (Arkansas darter)
Lineage: Eukaryota; Metazoa; Chordata; Actinopteri; Perciformes; Percidae
Exons: 3
Source: RefSeq, a predicted model, not a curated record
ACAUUCGGGAAAUGGAAACGUCCGAAGGGCACGUGAAUGCAGCAGAAGGCUUGCGGAGUCGCUCGAGCAGAAGGUAGCUUGAGGAGGAUUCUAACAUGUACAUUCCUGCGACUGAAUCCACAUGUCUGUUAGCACGCAAAAGUAGCCGGACCCCCUUAAUACACCCAUGGAUGUAUGACUGCAACUGAAAUGUAGUUUGCAAAGAUAAAGGCUAGUAUGGAGAAAAAAGACGAGAUGGAGAAGGACUGGUACCUGGAGGCGGCUGAGCGCGGUCCACACUGCAGGAAGUAGGGAGACGAAACUGAAUCCCUGCAAGGAGCAAACACCAAUUAGAAAGGACAAACGCAGACAUUCUAAUGGUACUGACAAAACUUGCAACUUGAUGGGAAAUGCACCCAGGCAACAAUUCUCCAGGAGGUGCCUCAACCUUAUACAAGUGCCUGAAAACAAAUGUAUUGCCAGGGACAUUUGAAUAUGUAUGUGUUUGGACUUUAGUUCAUUCUUGAUCACUUUUGCCUCUGUUGUAGCUGCCAAUGUUGAAAAAUAUCUUAUUGAAUUAUAACACUAACAAUAGAAUCACAAUAAAAUUAAGUUAGAGGCAAAAGAGGAACAAAAUGGACCAAAUUGAAAAUCAGCUAUAUUGUCUUUAGGUGAAAGCCUUUGAAUAAUCAAUGUCUGCCAAGGUUGUUUUUUGCCCAUCUGCAUUUCCCUAAUAUGUUGACCGUGUAUCAUUAUCUAAAGAUCAAUCCUUAGUUAUCAGGCAUUUGAUAACAUGCAUCAUCUGAAUCUGAAAACAGACAGCUAUGCUUUAUCUUCUUUUACAUAUAAGACACAGAGCAGACAUCAUUCAACAUAAAUAUAAAAAUGAAGUCAAAUUUUAAAAUUCGGAACUUAAUAAAACCAAUUUAUAUUUUCCAAUUAAUGGUUUCAAAUGGCAAGAUAAUUAACAAAUUGUCUUCCUAAUUUUUUUAUAUUAGACAUUUAUUAAAUAUUUAAGUAUUAAACUUGGUUCAUUAGCGGUACAGUGUGUCUCCUUUAAACAGAGUAUUUCAAUUUUUGGAGUAUAAGGCCAAAAAUAAUGUCAUGUGAAGACAAAGAUUUAGCAUAAAGAGACACAGACAAUCAUUUUAAUUAAGCCACUCCACAACUAUAGUAAAAUACCACAAAUAUGUGCUUGAAUAGAAACAUUUGUAAAUCUAAUAGAAAUUAGGUCUAGACAGUAGGGAAACAACGAAAAUCAGACAAAAUGUGCAGAGAGAUCCAGACAAAGAUAGAAAGAUGUUUUUAAGUGGAAAAGCCAGACAUUCUAUAAGUCUAUUUUUCUAUUUUUUUUAUUUCCUGACUGCCUCUGGUGAUGCAACAAAAUAUAUGAUUUUUAAAGUGGCAUGCUGUACUGCAGCAUGUGGAGUUCCACUUUUUACAUUCCCAAUUU